UACGUAGGCAGCAAGCGUUGUUCGGAGUUACUGGGCGUAAAGGGUGUGUAGGCGGUUCUUUAAGUUUGGUGUGAAAUCUCCCGGCUCAACUGGGAGGGUGCGCCGAAUACUGAGGGACUAGAGUACGGGAGAGGAAAGUGGAAUUCCUGGUGUAGCGGUGAAAUGCGUAGAUAUCAGGAGGAACAACGGUGGUGUAGACGGCUUUCUGGACCGUAACUGACGCUGAGACACGAAAGCGUGGGUAGCAAACAGG
RNAcentral lists this ribosomal RNA (253 nucleotides) under uncultured bacterium. Its description in RNAcentral is "partial 16S ribosomal RNA". It matches the Rfam family "Bacterial small subunit ribosomal RNA", at positions 524 to 776 of the family's 1533-position model. The record is from RNAcentral.